RNAcentral lists this ribosomal RNA (1066 nucleotides) under uncultured archaeon. RNAcentral's name for it is "bacterial SSU rRNA". It matches the Rfam family "Archaeal small subunit ribosomal RNA", at positions 1 to 1053 of the family's 1478-position model. The record is from RNAcentral.
AUUCCAGCUGAUCCUGCUGGCGGAUACUGCUAUCGAAGUCCGACUAAGCCAUGCAAGUCUGAGAGUUCAGCCAUGAGAACUCUGGCAUACGGCUCAGUAACACGUAGCUAACUUACCCUAAGGAGAGGCAAAACCCGGGAAACUGGGAAUAAUACCUCAUAGGCAAAAGAUACUGGAAUGUUCUUUUGCCCAAAAGACACACAUCAUGCAAGUGCGUUCGCCUUAGGAUGGGGCUGCGGCUGAUUAGGCUGUUGGCGGGGUAACGGCCCACCAAACCUAUGAUCAGUACGGGCCUUGAGAGAGGGAGCCCGGAGAAGGGUACUGAGAAAAGGACCCUAGCCCUACGGGGUGCAGCAGGCGCGAAAACUUUGCAAUGCGCGAAAGCGUGACAGGGGGACUUCGAGUGCUAGUUAAACUAGCUUUUGCCAAGCCUAAAUAGCUUGGCGAAUAAGUGGUGGGUAAGAUACGUGCCAGCCGCCGCGGUAAUACGUACAACACAAGUGGUAUCCCCUUAUAUUGGGCCUAAAGAGUUCGUAGCCGGUCCUGUAAGUCCUUGGUGAAAUCGGAUAGCUUAACUAUUCGAAUUGCCCAGGAUACUGCAAGGCUCGAGGCCGGGAGACGUGAAGGGAAUUUCUGGGGUAGCGGUGAAAUGCUAUGAUCCCAGAAGGACCACCAGUAGCGAAGGCGCUUCACGAGAACGGACCUGACGGUGAGGAACGAAAGCUGGGGGAGCGACCCGGAUUAGAUACCCGGUUAGUCCCAGCCGUAAACGAUGCAGACUAGGUGUCCUAAUGCCCACGUGGCAUAGGGGUGCCGAAGCGAAGGUGUUAAGUCUGCCGCCUGGGAAGUAUACUCGCAAGGGUGAAACUUAAUGGAAUUGGCGGGGGCGCACUACAAGGGGUGGAUGCUGCGGUUUAAUUGGAUACAACCCCAGACAACUCACCAGGGGCGACAGUAGAAUGAUGGACAGUCUGAAGGGCUUUCCUGACACGCUGAGAGGUGUUGUAUGGUCAUCGUCAGCUCGUACUAUGAAGCGUCCUGUCAACUCAGGCAACGGGCGAGACCC